RNAcentral lists this ribosomal RNA (289 nucleotides) under uncultured Desulfobulbus sp. Its description in RNAcentral is "partial 16S ribosomal RNA". It matches the Rfam family "Bacterial small subunit ribosomal RNA", at positions 1090 to 1381 of the family's 1533-position model. The record is from RNAcentral. Lineage: Bacteria; Pseudomonadati; Thermodesulfobacteriota; Desulfobulbia; Desulfobulbales; Desulfobulbaceae.
GCACGAGCGCAACCUUGCCUUAGUUGCCAGCAGUUCGGCUGGGCACUCUAAAGGGACUGCCGGUGUUAAACCGGAGGAAGGUGGGGAUGACGUCAAGUCCUCAUGGCCUUAUGACCAGGGCUACACACGUACUACAAUGGCCGAUACAAAGGGCAGCGACACUGCGAGGUGAAGCCAAUCCCGUAAAAUCGGUCUCAGUCCGGAUUGGAGUCUGCAACUCGACUCCAUGAAGUUGGAAUCGCUAGUAAUCGUGGAUCAGCAUGCCACGGUGAAUACGUUCCCGGGCCUC